GUCCAGACUCCUACGGGAGGCAGCAGUGGGGAAUAUUGCACAAUGGGGGAAACCCUGAUGCAGCGACGCCGCGUGAGUGAAGAAGUAUUUCGGUAUGUAAAGCUCUAUCAGCAGGGAAGAAAAUGACGGUACCUGACUAAGAAGCCCCGGCUAACUACGUGCCAGCAGCCGCGGUAAUACGUAGGGGGCAAGCGUUAUCCGGAUUUACUGGGUGUAAAGGGGGCGUAGACGGCAUGGCAAGUCAGAUGUGAAAGCCCGGGGCUCAACCCCGGGACUGCAUUUGAAACUGUCAGGCUGGAGUGCAGGAGAGGUAAGUGGAAUUCCUAGUGUAGCGGUGAAAUGCGUAGAUAUUAGGAGGAACACCAGUGGCGAAGGCGGCUUACUGGACUGUAACUGACGUUGAGGCUCGAAAGCGUGGGGAGCAAACAGGAUUAGAUACCCCGGUAA
Molecule: ribosomal RNA, 447 nt
Filed under: uncultured bacterium
Lineage: Bacteria
Description: bacterial SSU rRNA
Rfam family: Bacterial small subunit ribosomal RNA
Source: RNAcentral